AUUGAACGCUGGCGGCAGGCCUAACACAUGCCAGUCGAGCGGAUGAAGGGAGCUUGCUCCUGGAUUCAGCGGCGGACGGGUGAGUAAUGCCUAGGAAUCUGCCUGGUAGUGGUUGAUAACGUCCGGAAACGGGCGCUAAUACCGCAUACGUCCUGAGGGAGAAAGUGGGGGAUCUUCGGACCUCACGCUAUCAGAUGUGCCUAGGUCGGAUUAGCUAGUUGGUGGGGUAAAGGCCUACCAAGGCGACGAUCCGUAACUGGUCUGAGAGGAUGAUCUGUCACACUGGAACUGAGACACGGUCCAGACGCCUACGGGAGGCAGCAGUGGGGAAUAUUGGACAAUGGGCGAAAGCCUGAUCCAGCCAUGCCGCGUGUGUGAAGAAGGUCUUCGGAUUGUAAAGCACUUUAAGUUGGGAGGAAGGGCAGUAAGUUAAUACCUUGCUGUUUUGACGGUACCAACAGAAUAAGCACCGGCUAACUUCGUG
Molecule: ribosomal RNA, 484 nt
Filed under: uncultured bacterium
Lineage: Bacteria
Description: partial 16S ribosomal RNA
Rfam family: Bacterial small subunit ribosomal RNA
Source: RNAcentral